RNAcentral lists this ribosomal RNA (545 nucleotides) under Bifidobacterium breve. RNAcentral's name for it is "bacterial SSU rRNA". It matches the Rfam family "Bacterial small subunit ribosomal RNA", at positions 157 to 711 of the family's 1533-position model. The record is from RNAcentral. Lineage: Bacteria; Bacillati; Actinomycetota; Actinomycetes; Bifidobacteriales; Bifidobacteriaceae.
CGGGUGGUAAUGCCGGAUGCUCCAUCACACCGCAUGGUGUGUUGGGAAAGCCUUUGCGGCAUGGGAUGGGGUCGCGUCCUAUCAGCUUGAUGGCGGGGUAACGGCCCACCAUGGCUUCGACGGGUAGCCGGCCUGAGAGGGCGACCGGCCACAUUGGGACUGAGAUACGGCCCAGACUCCUACGGGAGGCAGCAGUGGGGAAUAUUGCACAAUGGGCGCAAGCCUGAUGCAGCGACGCCGCGUGAGGGAUGGAGGCCUUCGGGUUGUAAACCUCUUUUGUUAGGGAGCAAGGCACUUUGUGUUGAGUGUACCUUUCGAAUAAGCACCGGCUAACUACGUGCCAGCAGCCGCGGUAAUACGUAGGGUGCAAGCGUUAUCCGGAAUUAUUGGGCGUAAAGGGCUCGUAGGCGGUUCGUCGCGUCCGGUGUGAAAGUCCAUCGCUUAACGGUGGAUCCGCGCCGGGUACGGGCGGGCUUGAGUGCGGUAGGGGAGACUGGAAUUCCCGGUGUAACGGUGGAAUGUGUAGAUAUCGGAAAGAAACACCA